GCUAACUUGCUUGCUCGUUAUCUUACCUGUGCUUGCUGUCUAGUGUUGGCGUGGCUUAGCCAGCUGACUAGGUUCUGUCUUAGUUUCAACGUACCCUCUGGCUGGCAUCUAGGACGUAGGCUAGAAUUUUGACCAGCGGGUUUUAGACUUAAUUGUACUGAACGUCACCCCUGCUUUUGCUAGGCUUUUGUGUUGAGGAUUGGGAAAUGAUCUGCUCACCAAAAGAGAGAGUAACCAAAGCUCUGUUAGGCUUAAGGGGACCAGAGUUCCCUGAAACGAUGUGUAGAAGACCUUUGAUGUAAACUGGACAGGAGGAUGCUCAAGGUAUUGCAUGGCUUGUGAAAUAAUACCCUUUCUAGCUACAAGUGGUUCCUGUGAAAUAAAGCACUUUAUUACCUCAAGAAGAUACUCAAUUGAAAAGAGUUGUGAAGAGUUUUGCAGACUUGCUUGAUGUCUUAGCUAAAGUCCAGUAGUGGUACACCUCAGGACAAAGGGGUCUGUGAGGUUUAUUUCAUACUUUGGCUCCUCUUGGAGGUAAGUAGGAUGUAUUUUCUCAGGUUAUUGUCUCAUAAUAACUACACAGGUAUUGUAUUUGCCCCAGGAGACACUCGAGUGGGGGAGGGAGGAUGUCGUGAGAUGUUCUGUGAUGCAUUUACUUCACCUGAACGUUGCAGCCUUUCAAGAUCUGCUGGUAUUACAGCAAUGUGUACCAUUCUUCUCUGGCUUUAUAUGCGGCUCUCUCCAGCUAAAGAGUCAGAACCAAUUGCUUGCCGUCCUGUAAAAAGUCCAAUGUCCUGUGAGUGCUUCUCCUCGUGUCCCAUUUUGCUAUAUUCAUGACUGAAAAAAAAGAGGAGGUGAAGUGCUCUGUUGCUGCUGUACCUUUCAUUAAUAGUUCCGUACGUCUGAAGAAUUCUGGAUUACAAGUACAGCCCCUCCUUUUCUACUUCCGUUUCUUCUCUAUGUGAAUACCUUUAGAUAGGUGAACUGUGAGUGAAAUAAAGGGGCAGUGGCAUGAUGACUUCACAGUUACAACAGUUGUCCACAGUAGAUUUUAGCCCUGUGCUUUUAUCUGUGCAGCUGAUACCUGGUACCGAUGAUUCCCUGAUGUCUCAGCAAAGAGUUACUAUAGCAUAUCAAAAUGUAGGAAAAAGGAAAUUACUUCAGAAACUACCCAAGUGAAUGCCUGAUGCAAGAGACAAGUAAAACAGUUUUCUCUGUGUGUGUAGUUCACUUCAAUCAGCUUGGUAGUGUCUGAUACUUGUCAGUGUAUGGAUUUUACUCAUUGUUGACAACUUGUUAGAAAUGUUAAUGAUGAAACCUAUUUUGUAUGUGUCAAACUCAGAUAGUCUGUUCACCUGAAAGCACUAAUGCACAAGUCUCUCCUGACCCAACAGAUCUUCGUUGCAAGACCCACAAGAAGCUUACAGUCCUAUUGCAGAAAUAAGGGUUUUGUUGGCUUUUCAUAUGAAAAUAUACAAGGUGAUGGUAGAAUUGGAAGCCUGCUUUCGGCUUUUCCUAAACACGCGGGUAUGCUCUACUUUAAUGCUGUUUAUGGAAACUCACUCUGGUGUGUGUCUGGUCCUCAGCCUAUGAAGCUGAUAUGUUUGUCUGUACUUGCACUACUAUGCUGACAUCCUACACUGCAAAAGCUAUGAGUUUUCUUUGCUAGUGAUCACUUUGAAGUGAUUUUCAUCCCUAUGGACUCAGGUAAGCAACCACCCAGUUUCCUGAAGACCAGGAGAAAGAGUUGAAAGAUCCUGCAGGAGGUGUGAGGAAGGUGCAGAUAAGUAGGAAUGUGUGGUGACUUGAAGAAGAAUUUGCUUAAUCAAAGUUUAGGUUAAUAUGUAGAAACCUGUCUUUGUGUCUCAGCUUUCAUUCUGACAAGUUUCCUCUUAAUGAAAACAUCCAAGGUUUUGGAUGCUCUAAAUUGAGCAGUCAGUGGGUACUGUACUAAGCCAGCUGUGCAGUCUGCAUGAGAUAGAGAUGAAGUGUACAAACAGAUUAUAAUGUAAUUUUUAUAAGGUGUCUGGUGUUAUAAUACCACACUGUCAACAUCCAUGGCAGCACAGCACAGAGAACUGGCAGUAUCUUGGGGUUGUCUUGGUUCUUGCAAACUCACUGUCAGACCUAACCUAAUCCCUGGUAUGCACAUUGGCAUUAGUGGAAUGUAGUUUGUAAGGAUGAUUGAUAGCAUCUAUGCCACUCCUGGCGUGUGAGUUUUGUUUUAAAAUCCAAUUUUCUUAAGUAUGCCAGCUAUAAAACUUGGUUGUCUACGGUCCCAGCUGCUUAUUUCAAAGCCUGUGGUGGAAGGGUGUUAACUCUUUACUGCUCAGAUGAUGGAGGAUGAAGAAGCUGCAAUGAAAGUUGGUUGGUUGGUUGCAAUUGUCUCCCAUGGAGUUAUUUCACAAAAAUAGCUGGAUCUGCAAGCUGAAAAGCGAGAGGGUGAAUUUAACUUCGUAGAAUAGGUAAGUACUUCUAUAUCGUGUUACUGUUUCCAGGUAUCUUAAUCAUAGCGCAGAAUACAUUGUGUUGUCUUUGUUCUUUGACAGGGAGAGCUUUGAAAACCAGGAAAGACUGAAAGGCUUCUAUUUCUUUUUUAAGUGUUCUAAAUGAAAUUGUGGGGAGGAAGUAUCUGGAAGAGCCGCAUAGCAAAAGGAGUUUGUAAAGCUGCUCUGGAAAUAAUUCUAGUGACUAAUUAUGAAGUGUUACUUUUUUUUUUUUUUUUGUCUUUCAGCACAAGAAGAGUGCUCUAAGAGCAGUCAAGAACCUUUUCAGUUAGCAUGAACAUGUUCUUCAACCAAGACAUGGCAGCAGUUCAAUAGCAGUUACACAACAGGAAAGGGUGUGCAGGCUGCUGCAAGUCCCUGGGUUCAUAAGAUCUGGUAUCUGAAAGAACUCGCUAGAGAGAAGUCAUGGAAAAACCCACAUUCUUCUAUCUUGAGUUGAAAAGAGAGCUAAUAGUGAAACUGGAAAUCAAUUUCAUUGUAGAUACUGGAGAUGAUCAUCACAACGUGCAGGAAUUAAAAGUGUUAGGACACUGAAAAACUGCAGGUAGUACAGGAGACUCCAAGACUCCAGUUGUGCGAAGUUCCCUUUUGGGAACUUCAGGAGGGGGGGAAACUUGCUAAACGCAAGGAGACUCAAAACAUUCUCUGGCUGUUCUUAGCUGCACAUGAAUAUAUCUCUUAAGGUGGGAUGGUGUGACAUGACCACUGAAGACCAUAGGGCUGUAAGCAGACCACAUUUCUCUUAAGAGCAUAUGUGCCGCUACCCAGUUCAGAAGCACCCCAACAGCUUCAGGUUUUGUCACAUAAUAGUAUUUCCUGGGACAGUAGCUUUUCUUAGUCCACCUCCUGCAAAGCCAGCUGGCUGAUGGCAGCACUGCGGUGAAGAUGAGCCUUCCCCACCCACAAGUUGCUGCAGACUUGCACAGAAAAUGACUCAGGCUCCAGAGCUGAGCAUAAAUCCUUCAGCUGCCACUGUUGUAGUUUUAAUAUACACAAUGGGUGCCCUGAGUGCUUCCAUGUGGAACAAGAAACAUUCAGGCUGCGUGUUUAGAUAUACUUUGUGUGUGCACUGCCCUCUGCAGCACAAAGCUUGAUCAAGCCCUGGUAUUGCAUAAAACAAGUGGAGGUACCGUGCUGAAGUUGUGCUUGGAGUGGACUUCACUCAGUUGCCACUGAUCAUGGAAAGGUCUAUUUUUGUUGUGUAGUGGUAAACCUGAGUUGGUAAGUGAUACUGCUCAGCUGAUGUGUGUGUCUGUGCCAGGUGAGCAGUCCAUGACCUGACAAAUCAUUGACCGUGGUACUAGCUCCGACUCCUUUCAAAAUAAUAAAAAGGGGACGGAGGGGAGAGGCAGCAGAGGAUUUUUUAAGGGUCACAUAAGUUCUACUGAAAUUAGAAGCGCACUCAAAAUACCUUAGUGAAAACAAUACAUUUUAGGAAAUGAUGACUCCUAUGGCGAGAGCAAUGUGAGCCUUUAGUUAUGGCAAGCUUCCAAUACUGUUCCUUGUCCCUAUUUUUGUGAGGGUGUGGGUGAAAAGUGUUAGACACAGGGAGAGUGAUAGCCAUAACCAGAGGUUAAAAUUUAAUUUUGGCAAAUAUAGCUUUAUUUCAAGUGAUGCACCAUUUUUUUCUUAUAAAGUCCUGCAAAUAAAUUGUAGGCUGGAGUCUCUGAUUAUGCAUGCAAGUGUUCUCAGGUUCUCCAGCUUUUUCGGUGCAGUGGUGCAAAAUUUCAUUUUGGCUCCUAUAUGAUUCAGCUUAAAAUACUAGCUUGUACAGGUGAGUACCUAAACAACAGUACUGCAGUCAGAGCACUCCUUAGUGCACACAAGCCAUUUCCUUUGGGUAAGUGAACAAGCACACAGCUCCUGGGACAGCAGGAUUUGAUAGAAUACCAGAUAGAUGCCAGAAUUCCCUGGGUUUAUACUCUUCUUUGGUCUUUUUACCCAAACUUUUAGCUUUUCUAUUCAUUGUCACUAGUUGGCUCUUUUCUACCACCUCUUUAUUUCUGGGUUGGGGUUUUUUUUGCCAUUUCUUUUGCAAGUGCCUCUUCCUG
Long non-coding RNA from Empidonax traillii (willow flycatcher), 4558 nucleotides. RefSeq lists it as uncharacterized. The transcript is spliced from 2 exons. The record is from RefSeq and is a predicted model, not a curated record. NCBI's taxonomy places the organism in Eukaryota, Metazoa, Chordata, Aves, Passeriformes, Tyrannidae.